Molecule: ribosomal RNA, 796 nt
Filed under: Saccharomyces cerevisiae (brewer's yeast)
Lineage: Eukaryota; Fungi; Ascomycota; Saccharomycetes; Saccharomycetales; Saccharomycetaceae
Description: eukaryotic LSU rRNA
Rfam family: 5.8S ribosomal RNA (bases 346-499)
Source: RNAcentral
GAAAAUGGAUUUUUUUGUUUUGGCAAGAGCAUGAGAGCUUUUACUGGGCAAGAAGACAAGAGAUGGAGAGUCCAGCCGGGCCUGCGCUUAAGUGCGCGGUCUUGCUAGGCUUGUAAGUUUCUUUCUUGCUAUUCCAAACGGUGAGAGAUUUCUGUGCUUUUGUUAUAGGACAAUUAAAACCGUUUCAAUACAACACACUGUGGAGUUUUCAUUAUCUUUGCAACUUUUUCUUUGGGCAUUCGAGCAAUCGGGGCCCAGAGGUAACAAACACAAACAAUUUUAUUUAUUCAUUAAAUUUUUGUCAAAAACAAGAAUUUUCGUAACUGGAAAUUUUAAAAUAUUAAAAACUUUCAACAACGGAUCUCUUGGUUCUCGCAUCGAUGAAGAACGCAGCGAAAUGCGAUACGUAAUGUGAAUUGCAGAAUUCCGUGAAUCAUCGAAUCUUUGAACGCACAUUGCGCCCCUUGGUAUUCCAGGGGGCAUGCCUGUUUGAGCGUCAUUUCCUUCUCAAACAUUCUGUUUGGUAGUGAGUGAUACUCUUUGGAGUUAACUUGAAAUUGCUGGCCUUUUCAUUGGAUGUUUUUUUUUCCAAAGAGAGGUUUCUCUGCGUGCUUGAGGUAUAAUGCAAGUAUACGGUCGUUUUAGGUUUUACCAACUGCGGCUAAUCUUUUUUAUACUGAGCGUAUUGGAACGUUAUCGAUAAGAAGAGAGCGUCUAGGCGAACAAUGUUCUUAAAGUUUGACCUCAAAUCAGGUAGGAGUACCCGCUGAACUUAAGCAUAUCAAUAAGCGGAGGA